UUUAAUGCCAAGGUUUACGUCAUGAGUAG
Molecule: non-coding RNA, 29 nt
Filed under: Mus musculus (house mouse)
Lineage: Eukaryota; Metazoa; Chordata; Mammalia; Rodentia; Muridae
Source: RNAcentral